RNAcentral lists this ribosomal RNA (308 nucleotides) under Partula cf. suturalis. RNAcentral's name for it is "partial 16S ribosomal RNA". Lineage: Eukaryota; Metazoa; Mollusca; Gastropoda; Stylommatophora; Partulidae. The record is from RNAcentral.
GGAAUAACUGUUUCAGUGAAACUAAAAAGAAAUUUCUUAAUAGGUGAAAAUUCCUUUAGUUAAUAUAAUAGACGAGAAGACCCUAAGAAUUAUAUAUUAAAAUUAUAGUUUUAUAACAAAAUUUUUGUUGGGGCAACAGAUUUGGUAAAAUCAAUAACUUUUAGAUUUGCAUAUUAAGUAUAUUUAAUAAGAAUUUAAUUACCUUAGGGAUAACAGCAUUAUUGAUAUAUCAGAUUGUGACCUCGAUGUUGGACUAGGGACUUUUAAAGUAAGCCAUUUUAAAAGAUUGUUCUGUUCGAACAUAAAAC